CCUACGGGUGGCAGCAGUGAGGAAUAUUGGGCAAUGGGCGCGAGCCUGAACCAGCCAAGUCGCGUGAGGGAAGACGGCCCUACGGGUUGUAAACCUCGUUUGCCGGGGAGCAACGGGCGCCACGUGUGGCGCCACUGAGAGUACCCGGAGAAAAAGCAUCGGCUAACUCCGUGCCAGCAGCCGCGGGAAUACGGAGGAUGCGAGCGUGAUCCGGAUUGAUUGGGUUUAAAGGGUGCGUAGGCGUGGCGUUAAGUCAGUGGUCAAAUUGAGGGGCCCAACCCCUUCCCGCCAUUGAAACUGGCGCUCUUGAGUGGAAGAGAGGUAUGCGGAAUGCGUGGUGUAGCGGUGAAAUGCAUAGAUAUCACGCAGAACCCCGAUUGCGAAGGCAGCAUGCCGGCUUCCUACUGACGCUGAUGCACGAAAGCGUGGGGAUCGAACAGGAUUAGAUACCCUUGUAGUC
RNAcentral lists this ribosomal RNA (460 nucleotides) under uncultured bacterium. RNAcentral describes it as "partial 16S ribosomal RNA". It matches the Rfam family "Bacterial small subunit ribosomal RNA", at positions 338 to 795 of the family's 1533-position model. The record is from RNAcentral.